Long non-coding RNA from Monodelphis domestica (gray short-tailed opossum), 739 nucleotides. RefSeq lists it as uncharacterized. NCBI's taxonomy places the organism in Eukaryota, Metazoa, Chordata, Mammalia, Didelphimorphia, Didelphidae. The record is from RefSeq and is a predicted model, not a curated record.
UAGGAGCAUCCCAGGGUGAGAAGGGAGGGAAAGGAGCGGGGCUAAGAGCAUCACGGGAUGAGAAGGUUGGGGAAGAAGCUAGGCUAGGAGCAUCACAGGAUGAGAAGGGAGGGGAAGGAGCCAGGCCAAAGGCUCCCUAGAGAUGGAGAUAAUUAGGUUCAGCCCACCACGUCCCACUAGGUCCACCUCGGCUUUUUCUUGGAGGCUUCAGGCAGGAAAAAGGGACGGAGGCAGGACUUGAGUUUCCCAGGUUCCCAGGGCCGAUGGAUCAGGCCGCCGCCCAAGAUUGCCUGGUGAGAGGAGGGCGGGCAGGCCGGCUGCAGAGUUCGAAGCCGUUCCUGACUUCUAGUGUGCCCUCGCGACGGAAGGGAGCCCUGUCAGAGUCGCCCAACGCUCCCAGCUAGGGGUGCGCUGGAAGGGAAAGAGUCUGACCCACCCAUGUAAUCGUUGUGCUACUGGGUUGGACCUAGAAGGAGAAAAAAGAUACCUGGAGAAAACUUGGAUAGCAAAAAACAGCUAUUGAAAGAACAUCAAUGACCACCAAUUCCCUAUAACUACUUUCUAAUAUUUAAAAAAAAAAGUUUGAGAACAAUUUACAUGCAUAUGGAGAGUGUUUCCAAUGAAAAUGGGAAGAGAAAGACAGAUGUUCACAACAGACAAUUUCCUACAGUAGGAGUUUCUCAGGAUAGGAAACUGAAAAAUGUAUUACCAUAUGUGAUUAAAGACUCUCCUCCAACAA